Molecule: long non-coding RNA, 36230 nt
Filed under: Medicago truncatula (barrel medic)
Lineage: Eukaryota; Viridiplantae; Streptophyta; Magnoliopsida; Fabales; Fabaceae
Description: long non-coding RNA (MTRU_LNC001281)
Source: RNAcentral
UUUUCUACAGUAUUCAUCGCCACCCAUUUCCACCGCUUUGGGUUGUUGCUCAUAAAACCUUACCCAUUUCACUCAUUCAGAUCAAAAUUGGUUCUUUAAGGUUCCAACAAACCCAGAAUUGGUUCUACAUUCUUUCCUUUUCAUUUUAUUUUGUACAACACUGAAAUUUCGUCCCUUUUUUCCAUUAUCCUUAAUGACUUUUACAAUUUCCUUGUUUAAUUUCAAGUUAUUGGAAUUAAAUUUUUCAAUAUGGUGUGUUUAAUCACAAUAUGGAGUGUUUAACUAAGAAAUUAAAAAUGGGUUUGAUUAGGUGGUUCUUCUGAAUUGUUGUUAUAAAGAAAGAGAGGAACUUGAAGGGUUUGCGAUUUCUGGGAACAUUGAGGCGUGUUGUAUUGUGUUGUUCAUGUUCUUUUUUAUUUCUUUUUUUCAUUUAUUUUUUUUAUUCAUUUUAAUUAGUUGACAUUUUUUUUAUUUUUAAAUUAAAAAAUUACACAAUGGCAUCUUUGUGGGUUAAGUGGCAUGACACAUAGGUUUAGGUUUGACUUAGUCAAAAUUGAGAUUUUGUAAAAGGGGGUAAACAUGAGGGGUCAUUCUUACCAUUUUUUUAAUAGGGGGUCAAAAUUGUAACUUUUACAAACUUAGGGAGUAAAAAGUGUGUUUAAGCCUAAGUUUUAAUAUGAGGUUUUUAUGUCGGCCUAUGUGACCUUUUAGUUUAUAUUUAAUUAAAAAAAAAUAAUCUUAAUAGGUCCAAUGCUAGAGCAGAAGUAGUCUUACCUAUGAGUCGGUAUUUUAUAUAUAAAUAGUAAAUGUUCAUAUAUAAAUGAUAGUUAUGUUUUUUUACUGGAAUUAUACUUGACAUAAUCGCGCCGAGAGACUUAUAACAUAUAUUGUAACAUAUAGUGUCCGACACGUUUCAAAUAGAUUAUUUGAAGUUGAGAAAAUUUAUAUGAAACCAAACUGAAUCAUCACCGUCGUUCAUCAUCAUCACCACUGGAAUCUUCAAUCUCAUCAUCAACACCGUCGUUCAUUAUCAUCACUGUCAUCAUCACCAUACCGGAAUGCCAAAACCAUUUUGCUAUGGAAAUGGUUUCUGUGAGUUGUACUCCAAACCCAUUUUGCUGUGGAAAUGGUUUCCAAAAUCUUGAAUCUCAUCAUCAACACCGUCGUUCAUCGUCAUCACCGUACCGGAAUGCCAAAACCAUUUUACUGUGGAAAUGGUUUCUAUGAGUUGUACUCCAAACCCAUUUUGCAGUGGAAAUGGUUUCCAGAAUCUUAAAUCUCAUCAUCAAUACCGUCGUUCAUCAUCAUCACCGUACCGGAAUGCCAAAACCAUUUUGCUGUGGAAAACCAUUAGAUGUACUUAAUGGUUUCCAGUAGUUUCCCAGCCAUAAAUCCCUCUAACAUCGCAAAGAUUUCGAAUCCAAUAACAACUUCAGAUCUGAAACCGUGAACACUAAACCACAGAAAAUCACAUAAACAUCAUCUACCACUCUCAAAUUCGUUUAUAAAUCCAGAAUCGGUUUAGAAGAGGUAGAGGGAGAGUUCGUACAACCUACCACAACAAGAUUCGAACCGGAUCGGAACAACACUUGAACACAACAACAAAUCCGAACCGGAUCCGAGAAGAAGACCAAAACGCGAAACAGAUCCGUGAAGAACAAGAGGUAGUUUCAUUUUCUCUUUUUGUUCCAUUUUUUUACUCGUAGAUCUACGCUCGUGUGAUUUUUUUUUUUAGAAAUCUAAGGCAAUAUUUGGAAUCAACACAAAAAAGGAUGUCUAAAACCGUAAAAACUUUUUGAUUUGGAUGCAGUUUUGAACUCCGGCGCGGUGGUGCCACCACCGACCACCGCGCCGGAAUCAUCAUGUGUGGCCGAAAGAGAUGAAGACUCAUCUGAAUUGUAGAGAGAGAGGGAGAGCUUUAUGUUUUAGUGAGAGAAAUAUUUGAAGCAAAUGAAGUUUGAUUUGGUGUAGUUUGAGAAGCCUAGGAUUAUUACACGUGUACACUAGAUCUGAUGGUUGUGAAGUGUUUAUGCACGGUGCAUAAGGAUUUCCUUAUGCACUGAUGACAUCUCGUCAUUACGUAAUUUUUAUAUGUAUUUUGAUCACAAAGUGGAGUUCAAAAGACAACAUAUGCAGCAAAAAGAGCAGAAAAACUGAAGAAAAUACAAAGAAGAAAACGUGUCACGAUUUGGUAAAAACGAGACACGAUUUUAGAAGACCAAAAUCAUGCUUCGACAUUGAAGAAAUUGCGUCACGAUGGCAUAAUCGUGACACGAUUUGAGGAAACCCUAAUACAUAUAUUUGUGAUUCAAGGAGAAUCGUGCCAUGAUUUACUUAAAACUUGACACGAUUUUAGGCGGAAUUAUGUGCCUAUUUAAGCUGAAGUCUAUUCCAAAGACAAGGGUUACGAUUUUGAGAGAGCAAAGUGCGAUUUUGAGACUACAAGACGGCGAGAAGGGAGAUUUCUUCACUCUUUUACCAGUUCAUGUAUGUAUUGAUUCCUCUAAUGCUUAUGUUAUUUGUAAACUCCAUUAUGAGUAGCUAAAUCCAUCAGAGGUUAGGUCUGAGAUGAUUCUUUGUAACCCUAAUUGACUCAUGUUGCUGUGAAACUCUAUUAUUUGUGAAUGACAAUCUAGUUUUUAUUCAAUUCAAUUGUUCUUAAUGCUUUUUAUAUCCUGAUCAAAUAUAAACAUGAUUUAGUGAGAACGAAUGACUACUGACCAUAGCGUUCGACUUAGACCUAAUUGAAUUGUUCUAAUAAACAUGGUUAGUCUAGGAAUGGAUAAUCCUUUAUUAGUGAUAUUAGGUUAACGUGCUUAAACUUUCAACGGUUAUUAGACCACCUAAGGAAUUAGGAACUGUAACCCUAGAAGAGGGUCCUGUAACGCCCUCUUUAAUUAUUUAAUUAUUUUAUAGAGUUUAGAGUCCACUUUGAUGAUUAUGUGAUGUGUUGAUAUUUUAUUUAAAGACUUGUUUUAUUAUUUACUAGAAUAAGAUUUGAAAAUAAAAUAAAUAUUGAGAUGUGAGGCUCUUUUGGAAUUUGGACGAGUUUAGUGGAAAUAGAGGAAAUAAGAUAAAGUGGAUUGAGGAGAGAUAUAAGGAGGAAACUAGGUUUAGAAAAGUUUUUUUUUACGUGAAACUGCUUUUUGGAGAAAAAGGGAGAAAACAAGAAAAGAAGAGAACCAAGAGGGAGAGAGACCGCAGAUCAUCAAUACUAAGGUAAGGGUGAGACUAACCUUCAAUAAUUCUGAGUAUGUGAUUCUGAAGAUGAAUUUAACAUGGUUGUAGGUUGAGGUUUUAGAAUUUGAGAGAUUAGAAUUAAAAGAUGAAAUUGAAAGUUGAGAAUUAAGGAAAACUAGUUUAGGUUUCGAAUUGAGUUUCUAGUCUUAAAAAGAGUGGAUAAUACAGUAGGUUGAUGAAUAAUUAGUGUUAUAAUGAUAGGGUGAUCAUAUGAUAAUGAUUAGGGUCAUGUUUGGAGAGUAUUGGAUCGAAAACAGAGUCGAAAAGAUUUUCCCAAAGGCGAAAUCGCAACUGAACUACGAUUUUGCUGUCAGUGUGCAAAACGUGUUUUUAUAGUCUCAGUUUGACAAGUUUAAGUUUCGAACUGGAUUUAGGUGCCUUCACGAAAGUUGUAGAUAUGGAUGUUAUCUGUCACUCGGCUUUGGAGGCACUCAAUUUAAGCACAUAGAACUCAAGAUAUGAUCAAAUUACUACACAGGGGUCAGCAGGGAUCAACACAGUCGUCCUCUUUUCCCGAGCAUAGGAAAAUCAAUUUUUCUGGAAUUUUCUGUUCUGAAUUAGGUUUGGGAGUCUUCAUGAAAGUUGUAGAUAAUUUUGUUAGCUUUCCAACUAAGUUAAUCCAAAACUUAGGGAAUAAUUCCAAACCUCAAAACUAGAAGUACUAGGAGUUCAAUUAAGGUGUUUAAGAGUAUUUAACCUAUGUUAUGAGUUGAUCCUUGGGUAGGAAUGAAGGUUGAAUAUAAUAUUACUGAUGAUCUGUGAAGCUGUUAUAAUAUGAUUUAAUGUUGAUAGUAAUGUAAUAUAUUUGUAUAUGCAUUAUGUGAAUUAUAUAAGAUGUUUAAGUUGAUGUUGAUUAUCAUUUGAUGUUGUUAUAUCUUGAGAUGUUUACGUGCUGCCUAUGUUGCUGUUGUUGGUUAUGUGAAAUAUUUAUAUGCCUUAUGUGGAAAAUGUAUGAUGUUUAAGUUGUUGAUGCUCUUCAUUAAUAUUGUUAUGUUGUGAAUUGCUUGUACUGUUUCUGUUGCUGUUGCAUAUUGAUCAAGUUGCAGGUGUUGGUCUAAGUUGUAAAGUUGUAAGUUGUCUUUCCAAAGUAUUGGAGUCUUAAGUUGUUAAUGUUGUCUAAGUUGUUGAAGUCGUAGUUGAAGCUGUUGUUGGUGACUGUUUAUGUUCAGGUGUUUUGUGAGAGGUGGUGUACUCUUACAUUGUUGUUUCUAAGAGGUGGUGUACUCUUACGUUGUUGUUCUAUAAGAGGUGGUGUUAUAAGAGGUGGUGUACUCUUACGUUGUCGUAUUAUAAGAGGUGGUGUACUCUCACGUAGCUGUAUUGUAAGGUUGACGUUGUCGUCGUUGAAUCGUUGAAGUUGUUGUUGAUGACAAACCAUGGAAUAUUAAUGAUUAUGUUGUGUUUAUAUUAUUAUAAGAUGAUGAUUAUGUUGUUGUUUAUAUUUGUUAUGAGUUAAUGAUGAUUAGAAGUGGAUUGGACUAUUGAUGAAGCACUAUAUGAAGAAUUAUUAUUAUUAAUUAAUAAUGUUUAUGUUGUUAAAUUUAAUUGUUGAAUUAUAUGCUUAAUAUUAUUGUUUGUGAAAUCUCACCCCUUCUGCUUGGAAAUGUUGCACUUCGUAUGAGUAACUUGCAGGUGAUCGAGAAUAAGUAGCUGUUGAUUGCUGUCGUGAGUGGCUAUCUCUCACUGUGUCUUUAGGUACUUUGAUACGUAACGGAAUGUGAACUGUUGUGGCUAUUUUCUAUUCCUUACCUAUUGCUUAUGAUUUUACAUGACUAUGAUUUAGUUUGGAUUUUUAUGAGAUGUUAUGAUAAAGCCUUCGUGCCAAAGACUAUUUUAGUUGUUGAUUUUUAAGAAGUGUAACAUUCCGUUUAUGUGGAAAACUCUGAUUAAUUGUUAUGAAAUUUUUAUGUUGGAAAAACGGGGUGUUACAGGUCCUAACUCAAUGGAUUGAUUACGACUAUUUUGUUAAUUAUCGUAAAACUAGAGACUCAUUCACAAGAAUAGGUGCGGUAUACCAAUUAGGGGAACAUAGAUGAUUCGAAAGACCUAAACUCAUCUCUCUCUUAUUCUUAAAACCAAUCUUUAUUUUUUGUUAUUGCUUAUGCAAAUAAACCAAUCAACUGCCUAGUGGCAAAUCAAAAUAACCUUUAUACAUCUUAAUUUACAACGUAAUUGAAUUAUUAAGAUUAAAAUCAGACCUUAUGGGCACGAUAUUUUUACUACUUCGGUAAUAUUUAGUACAAUUGCCAAAACUCUAUCAUGCACCAUAAAUUUUGCCGAUAAUUCAUAUAUUUAACUUUUAGUACACUACAUCAAAUUAAUAAAAUAUCGAAUAACAAUUGAAUAAAGGAGACAAUGAGUUUCUCUUAUCUUAGUAAAAAACAGAUUGAGAAUUUUGGAUUGAAACCUUAUAAACUUUUAUUUUAACGGCAAAAAUUAAUUAUAAGAUAUGAGAGAAGUGGAACAUUUUUCAACUCCGUUGGUUAAGAUCAUAGAUAAAGAAAUCAUGAGUAUUAUUAAAAAAUAAAUGUUAUUUGAACCCCUAUUUUUUGGAUAACUUGUGCAACAAUUUAAAUAUACAAAAAAAUCCUGACCAAAAAACAAAAAUACAAAAAAAAAAAUUGUGAGUGUUGACACAAAAAAUAAAGUAAUAGAGAGAAAGUAAAAAUACAAUACAAAUAUAAUUUUCUUGGUGCAUUCUUGUUUUUUCCGGUGGUUGCGUCGGCGGCUGGGUUUUUUCAAUAUCGUAGCUUGCGGUUGUGGUGGUUUCUUCUAUUGCGCGGGCGUUUAGACUUUGAUUUUUGGAGAUGACUUCUUGGUUUGGUGUUUAGUCUCUAUUGGUUUCGAGAGCCCUUCGAGGAGGGUGUUUUUGGUUUAUUUGUAGAAGUUUAUAUUUGAUACAAGGUGUUUGUUUGUGUAUUCCGUAUAUAUACGACACAAUUUUCAUGUGUAUGUUGUUUUUUAAGUCUCCUAACCUAGCAUUUCUUGUGUUUGCUAGGAUUCUUUGUGUUUUAAAUAAAUUUCAUUUUAGCUUCUUCAAAAAAAAUUAUAAUAUAAGAGAGGAAGUUGUCACAAAAUUAUCAUAAAAUGGUUAUUCUUUGUGGUGUCAUUGUCAAAAGUGACCUUUUUUUUGUCUAGUGACUAGAGCUCACACAAUUAAAUAUGGAGAAGUGGGGUGUCGAGGGUUCGAAUCCCGACCCUUGCAUAAAUUAUGCAAUAUCCCUACCAACUGAGUUAAGCUUACGAUAACGUCAAAGUGAUAUUUUAACCCUUAGAAAAGUUCUAUUUCAAUAUUUCAAACUUUAUUUUUUUUUGUUAGUUUUAGUGUUUUUUUUAAUAAUAUUUUUAUAAUGGUAAAUUCAUAGUCAGACUAUAUAAAAAGAGAAUAAUUUAACUAAAAAAAACUAGUAAAUAAAACUCCACACUAAUUCUAAAAUUUAUUUAAAAAAACUCGAAAUCUAAAAAAAGAAAAACAUUUGGAACGAGGUUUUAAUUAACCGCUGUGAAUAAUGAAUUUUUAGAUUAUUAUAUUAAGGAGAAUGUUAACCAGUAACCCCGACAUUGGUUAAGCACCAAAUAAAGUAAUUUUUUACCAAAAAAUAAUGUAAUUAUUACUAAUAAAAAAUGAUAGUUUAUAUUUUCAAAACAGAAAAUUUUAUUUAUAAAUUACUGAUUAACAUGACCCUUAUAGCAAAAUUAACUUGUGAAUAAUGUGAUAAUACCAUAUUUUUUGUUAAGUUAAUGCAAACACGGCUCAUCAAUGCAAUGUAAAAAGUAAGUAAAAGUAGAAGAUCCGUCGUACGGUCAGCUGAUAAAGUUAAACUGUAUCUAUUGCAUGAUUCAACUAAAAGAUAAAAAAAAAAUCCUUUUAGAUUAGUUCUCCAACAUGGUACAAACCUACAUCUCCGGAAAAAAAAUGGUACUUAAUUUCUACUAAACUAGAUUUACAAUCUAAACCCACAAAGAUUCAUUCUUGGGGAAGUUUCUUGAGGUUGGAGUCUCACUAAAAUAGGAACCUCAUACAAACACUAAUAUUUAUAUAUAUAGAGAAAAGAAAUAAAGGAGAUAGUGAGAGAAGCAGUGAAGCAGCUUCAUCUUUUGGUGUUAUCUCCCUCAAAAAAAAGAAGAAGUUUUUUUCAUCUAUCUUAGCAUUGAAGUAAGAGACUCAAAAACAUCUUGGUUGCAUGGAAUGGUAAGACCCAUGUCAUGAUCAAACCCAAACUCUUCUUCUGCUUGAUGAAGAAGGUUUUGAAACUCUGGUCUACUUAGAAAAGCAAUAGGAACAAUGUACCUGCUUCUGUUUUCACCAACAUAUACAACAAAGUGACCUUUUGGAACAUCCAAACGAAGACCAUGAUGAUCAACGUACCCUUGUUGUUUCUUGCCUAGACUUGAACAUCUUUUAAGGAUUUGUUUGAUGAGUGCUGUUUGAGGAAGUUUAGUUGAUUUUCUUAUAGCCAUUGUUGUGGAUUUGGUGUGACAAGAGAAAGAGAAGAGAAGAUUGUGUUGUGUUGAAGAUGGAGAGGUGUGUGAAUGAGAAAAGAACGUGGUGGGUAUUUAUCAUGAGAAUAGCUUAGGCAGGAGAUAGAAAAAACGGAGUCAUGUGGGGUUGUAAGGACUAAUCACAGAGUCUAGGACUCUUUUUUAGUGCCUCUAGGAGCCAACCUAUUUUCGUUUUACACCCCCUCUUGUUGCUUUUCCAAACAACAUCUUGGUCCCCCAUUUUUCUCUCUCUCCCUAUUGAAUUUUUGUUUUCUAACUUUUUUUUAAUUAUAAAGGAAUGGGGUUUUCUAACUUUUCUUUAACUAUAACUUGUCAAUAUAUAUCAUAUAUAACAAUAAAUUUCAGCUCUGUACGGACGAAAUAUCCUACCAUUACAAUUAUAUAUAUAUACAUAUAUAUAUAUAUAUAUAUAUAUAUGCAUGACGAGAUAUCCUAAACAAAAUUAUAAAAACAUUUGAUCAUGUUUAAAUUUUAAUGUGUAACUUUUGUAAAAUUAUACUAAUUUAUUGUGAUUCUGCUACAUAAUCAAACAUAUCUUAAUUUAUGAGAUCAAGAUCGGAUGAUACACAUUCUGUAUUCAUCAAUCAAAUUUUAAAUACAAGCUUAACUUAUGGAUGUUGGAUUUUGAUCAAAUCACCAAAUUAUGCUGAUUUUAGAGAUGGAGCAUUCUGAAUGCAUAUAAUUUAAUUCCAUAUAAAACCUACUAAUACCUAGAAUUAGAAGUGAAAUUUGAAAAUUAUUUGCAAAUUCAAAUUUAAGUUUGAUUAAAUAAUAGUUAUGUAGAAGAAUGGUGUUUGGAUGUGUUGAUUUUGUUUCUCAACGUCAAUUUGACUAAAAUUGAAACAGUGAAUGUUUAUUGUUUAGUAACACGAUGAAUUUGUUAAAAUAGCGGGGAUCCUGCACCACUAGCUCAAGAGUCUCAAGAACAUAAACAUUUGAAUCCAACCUAGAUAAGCAACUACAGUGAGAUCUCUCUUUCCAAUCCAAAGUGCAUGGAUUCAAUUUUGUUUAAGAAAUCUGAGUUCAAUUCUGCUUAGACAGAUAGAAACAAAUUAUAUUCAAAAAAUAAAUAAAAUAUUUAGUCACCAUUCCUUCCUGCCUUGCCAUUUUUCCACUUAAUUUUUUUUUCUUUCCAUAGCUAGACGUACGGUUCUCACAAGAGGAAGCAUCCGAGCAAUUUCCAAAGUUGAGUUAAACCAGCUUACCAGCUAUUGUUUAUGGGGAAAGUCCAUUUUUUGCAAUAAGGAUGAAAGUAAACGGUGAAUCAAUGUAUACCAAACCAACCGAAGCAAUUUAGGUACCUCAAGAAAGCAACCCCACCCCUAAACUUUUUUUCUUAAAGGAAUGCAAAAGCUCUAAUGCUAAGUGUCUCACAUCGAAUAGGACAUGAUCUGACAAUGUGUUUAUAAGUUGAGACAAUCCUUACAUCACAAGCCGAUUUUGUGGAAUGUAAUAAUAAUAUUUUUAAAGUCAAGUAUAAGUAUAUAUCCGUACGAGUCCCAACAACACAGUUUUCGUCCCCUUGAUCAAUUUGAAAGAGCAGAAUUUGCCUUGUCUCCUACUAUUCAGCCAUUUUUCACAGUUUUCCGCUUUCUUGUUCAAACCAUUGGGACUCGUGGUAUACACAUGACUUGCAGCUUUCACAGUUUCACAAGUUUCAAUUAUCUAAUCAUCAUCAGCUACAAUACGAUUUUAACAACGUCUAUCACACUAUUUUUAAAUAGGAAAAUGUUAACCGGUGUACUUAGAUACUCAUCAAGAUUAUAAAGAAAAUAUUUUCUUGAAAAGUUAAAACAUUGCUCUUUUCAAUGCAAAUUAUAUUUUUUCUUUUUACUUUUAACUUCAGGGCACCGAUUUGGAACAGAGGGAGUAAUAUAUAAUGUCAUAGCAGUAUUUUAUGGGUAAACUCAAUUCUAUAAUCAUUAAUUAAUUGAUAGUGGUACAUGUAUUUACAUAAAAGUGGAUUGAGUGAGCACUAUAGCAGAAAAAUUAAAAAGAGGAAAAGUCUAAGGUAGGGAUUUAUCCUCUUGAGAAAACAUGAGAAUAUAAAAUUGGAGAGAAUUUCCUCCCAUUUCUAAGGGCCUUGGCCCUAAGAAAUAUACAAAGGUCGUGCGUGACUCAUGACAUAUUUUAUUGAGAAAUAAUGGCUUCAAAAGAAAGAAAAUCAAAUUUUAACACAUUACUUAUAAGAGCAUUUAUCACGGAGACAUCAAUUUUUAGGUACUUAAAUGAGUUCCACACGUACAUAUCACUUAUUUAUAGUAAUUUUUAAUAGUUGUACAUAAUAAGACUCAAUUUUUCCAACUCAUCAUUUCACACAAAUUUGUUAAAUGAGACAUACUAAUCAACUAUCAAUAACUUUAUAUCAUUAUCUUUAAUUUUUUUAAUAUUAAAAGAGUGAGGCUCCCGUUUAAGAUUGAGGAUCUUAAGUGAGACCCGAGUAUUAUAAUACCCCGAAAAAGAUUCUCUCCAGUAAGAAUACCUAAUAGAUACUGAGUCUUAAAUAGUUAAGACCCUUCGAUUGAAGAUGAUGUAACCAAGGCUCAAAGCACAUGGUCAAAUGUGACUUUUCCACUUUAUACAUAUCUUGUAUGUUUUCGCAAAUAUAAACUCCCAAAAAAGGUACAUUAGAUAAAGUUCAAUUUGGCAAGACCAUUUUUGAAUUUAUAACUGAUAGUUUAUAGCUUAUAAGCUCAUACGACCAAAAUUAACUUGCACGGUAACAAUAUUUUUUCACCGGCCUAUUAUGUAUUUUUUAUAAGUCACUUUUAAUAGUUUUUUUUAAGUAAUAGUUUUUGAGCUUAAAACUUACUCUUUAUUAUAUAUUAUUUUCAACUUUACUUUUACUAUCUUAAUUGUAAAAAAAUUAAUAUUAAUUUAAAUAUAUUUUUAUGUUAAUUUUUAUUUGUCAACUAAUUCAACUGUCAAUUUCAUCUAACACUAUAUAAAUUUAAUCUUUUAGCUUAUCCCUUGUAUAUUCUGAACUUUCCAAAACUUAGAAUUAUCUGCAAAUUCGUCCUAAACACUCGAGUUCGAACACAACUAACUGGACCUCUUUGUGCCAAUACUUCCAACAGUUGUCGGUUUCAUCAAACGAAACACGUCGUUCGUAACAUCCUCUACAUCUAUAUCUUCAAUCGCAUAAAUAGGUCAUUGGACCACAACACAAGGUACACACACGCUUUUCAAUACCCUGUCACUAUUUUUUUUGAUACUGACUUGAACGUCAGAAUGUUUAGAGGUAUCCACAUACUUAACUACUUGACGGAAUGCCACUUUAUCGCUUAGUAUCACCUUAUUAGCGAACUUUUUGGUUAUUCGAUAUAAAUUCAUUCCUUAUAAGAAAGUGGAUAGAUCAUUGUAAAAGAUUCAGUUGCAUAUCACCACCGUCAACAAAACAAUCAAACAAGUUAUCAUUAUUACUACCUAUUUUUUGUCUUGCUAAAUUGUGCAUACUUGGUAACUAAAUUCUCCGAACAACGACUUCAUGUCGUCAAACAAAUUCUUUUAUGUACAAUUAAUUGACAGCAUAUAUAUAAAAAAUCGAACGGAUGAAAUUAGAAUUAUCAAAAUAAUUAAGCACCCCCAAGUGGCCUAUAAAUCCCAGCAUGCAGAGAAGGUACAACUACAAGGAAUUAUUGAGUUGAGGCGUGAGUACAUACACAUGCAGCUCAUCUUUAUUAAUUGUUGGGUUGUGACAGAUGAAUACAAUAUUUCACAUGCACCAUUCACCCUUUUCCACUAGCAUUUUUCUCACAAGGUACGGUUUUGGUCCUUCUUUAACAUGCUCCAAAACAGGGGAGAUAAAUAUAAGGGGACAAAAAUGGUACUCAUCAUAGUUAUAUUCGUGUCCUUUGCACUUUAUAUUAGAGCAUAUAAAUUAUAUAAGUCGAUGAGCAUGUAUCUUAAUUUUUCGGUUUAUUGGAGAAAAUUGAUGUAGCAAAGUGACUAACAUAAAAAUUAAUGAAGUAUCUUAAAUAAAAUAUAGUAUCAUAGAAAUUAACAUUUGAAUUUGAGACAACAUUGAGUAGAAAUAAAAAAAAAUAAAUAUAGAAAAAAAAUGGGUUGGAUAAUUAUUUACGAUUAAAGCAAAAUGUGUACGAGUUAGGUAAAGUACUAAGUAUGAUGUAACAUUGUAAGACCAUCUAUUUGUAGUCUAUAAAACCCAAAAUAAAUUCCUUAAAAAAAUAAUCAUAGGAGAUCCUCUUACAAAUUAGAAAUUACAAUAUAUAUAUAUAUAUAUAUAUAUAUAUAUAUAUAUAUAUAUAUAUAUAUAUAUAUAUAUAUAUAAUUGUAAUGCCAGCUACCCAAAAAGAUCGCAGCAAUCACAGAGAACUUAAAUGGCCUUAUUUGUUUUAUUUGGUAAAAAUGGAUAACAUAACAUAUGCUUCAUAGAAACAUAACUGUAACAAACUUUGUGUAUGGGCUCUCAUUGUUUCUUCCUUCUUGGGUUACUGCAGCAGGAUGUAUACUGUCGCAGGCAUUGAGUCCCCCCCGAUGGACCACCUUAGAUUUUCUCAAGAUAAAAUUUAAUGAAACUUACUUAUAUGUUUUUUUCCUUUUUAAUUAUAUUCAUCUUUUGGGCUGUUUCAAGGUGAAAUGCGCCUCAAAUACAAGUAAAGAUAAAAGUUUAGUAUUUUUUUUUUUUUUUUUUCUUUCUGACAAGAGAUAAAAGUUUAAUAUUUCUACUCAUAUAAAUUUUUCUUAUCGGAUCCGUCUACAUUACAAUCAAACGGAUCUUUAACUUUUAGGAGAAAACUAUUGUCAUAUUGAAGUAUAUACAAUGUACAGGAAGCUUUUAUGUACAGCUAUAUUUAAUCUUUUUACUAGCUAACAUAAGAGAAUACAGUUGGAAUGAACUAACCUGCAACGAACUAAUCAGAAGUUAAACUAACUUAUAACAAAUUUAUAAUACUAAAAUUUACACACACAACAAAAUUAAUUAAUAUUGGGUGCGGAAUAUAUGCACAUGCAGUACUACUCCUCAUCCCACAUUUAGAAUGCAUAUUAUAAGAGAUAAGGGAUUGGCUGCAUACAAUGUGGUCCUCGUUCUAUCUGCAAUAUAUUAUAUAUAUAUAGAGAUAUAGCAGAAUGAUAGUCAUAUUCAGAUAUAAAUUUUGGUCGAUAAAAUAUUAAUUGGUAGAGAAUCAUAUUGAUAUGGAGGAUUGGUAUUUCUAUCUGCAGAAUUAACUACUAGCUAGUUAGACAUUUUUGUUUUUCAUUCAAUUCCCAUGUUCUAAGGUCAAUAUUAAUCCCAAAUAUAUACAAUCUCAUCAUGUACCUAAUGCAACCGCGUCUUGUUCUUUGUUCUUCUCUUCCUCUCAUUGCAUUUAUACUAGCAUUAAUUAAUGAACUUUGAUUCUCAAUCACUAAUUUAUUACAUACAUAUUUUCAUAUCUCAUAAUCAACCAGUACCCUAGUUGUACGUACAUGUACAUGUGUGUAUGUCUAUGAAAAGGCAUAGCAUGUGAUAAUCUAUCAUACAUUUGCAUACCCCAAUUUCUACACGAGUCAUUCUCACAUUGGUAGCUUAGAUUAUACAUCACAACACGGUCCCCUAUAUUUAUUUUCCCCAAUUUUUUAUUUUGUCUAAAUUACAUAUGAUACCAUAUAGGGUCGUUACAGUUUUCAAAUGUGGAGCCGGGUUUGUGUACAUUUUCAAUAACCACUAAAAAAGGUAAGUUGACCAAAACAUAGUAUUCAACAUUGUUGCUAAUCUAGCUGAGAGAGUAAUUCUAGAUGGAAUCAAAGAUUUUAUACACAACUUCAACGAAAGCAAUAUCAGUUUUGUACACAAAAUUGGUUUAUAAGUUGUUGCAAAUCACAUAUGAAAGAGAUGAAGAUUCAUCUCUAAGAAAAAAUAAACUAAAGUUUUAAUAUAGAUGAUUUUUUUUAGAAUUCAUAUUAAUUGACCGAUAAAAGAUGGUAAAUAAAUCCAUUAAUGGAUAGAGCUAGCAAAACUCUAACUACAUUUUCUAAUUUUUAUAUAUCUAUUAUAAGAUGAAGAUUGUUCACCACUUGGAUUUAACUUAGUGUGAGUUUAGCAAUGAGUUUGCCCACCGUAGGAGCAUUAGCAUUUUAACAUUGAAAUAUAGAAGCUACAAAAUGUAGCUUCAAUCAAGUGAUUUGUCGUAUAUGCCUUAAAAUCAUAAGUCUGAGUUCUGCCUAUCUCGCGAUGCAGAUGCUGAAAGGAUUGCAGGGAGCCAAGAUACUGCUUAGCUCGCGAUGCGGAUUAGAAAGCUCGAGAUGUGGAUGAGCGAGUUUUCUGUUUUCUUGGUCGUCAAGUUUUCAUAGCUGGAUGAAUCUUAUAAAUAGGAAGCUCGUGUUUAGGGUUUGAGAGAGUGGAAAAAGGCAAUCCAAGAGAGAUCAAAAUAGGGAACCUUUAGGAAAUCAAUGGGCUAAAGAUCGAGGACUUUUGGGAUAAAUUCUAAGGUUUGGAAACACCAUUCAAACACCUUGGGUGUGAUAACGAUUGAGUCUCUUUGCCACAGGAAGAGCUUUGGAAAAAGGGUAGAAAUUAGGGUUGGAGGCUGAUUUCUUGUGACCCUUUGUAUCUCUACGUAAAGUUACUCUCAUGAUUAGUGAAACAGAGCUGUGUCAAUUUGGACCCAGAGUAUGUCGAUUUAGACCGAACUAUAUAAACAAAUAUCUUUGUAUUGUUAUUCUCCUUCUCAUUUUAUAGUACUCUAUUGUUUGUGCUUGUUUAAUCACUUUGGUUUUGGUUGCUGCUAAUUUUACUCCUCAAAUCAUUAUUUUCGUGUGAGUUUUGAUAUGAAUUCACAACAUGAUUAUUGAGUUUCCCCGAAGGGCAAACCGUUUGGUAAAGGACAAAACAUAUACUUAACUCAAUUUCUACAAAACAGGGGAUUGUAAAAUGAGAAGUACUUGCCAAUUAUAAAUACAUUUUAAGAUUUUAUUUUCAUUCAAUGUGAGAAUAUGAAAAACGGUGGUGCCUGACUUUUUUGUAUCAUCAAACAUUUUCCUUUCAAUUUAUGUCGUCGUUAUAAUAAUCUUCAAUUUCACUUAAGUACUCCACCUACUCUUCAUAUUCUCAACAAACAUGAUUAAUUGGACGAUUGAGGUGCAGGUUGCAUAUAUAACAUGAUGAACCGUUAACUUUGUUUGAAUUCAACUCCAAUUUCAUUUUGCAUUCCAUAUAUAGAUGACUAUAUUAAAAUUAGUAUUUUAUUUAGUGAAAAAUAUAUUAAUUAUUAGUUUUGGAAAAACCUUUAUUGACCAUAAAUCUUCUAAGAAUGGUAAGUUACAUAUAUGAUUAUUAGAAAGAAAGUCUCAAAGUCUUAAAUGUGAAACUGUACUGGUCCAUCAUGUUGGUUUAUCACAGUCUUUAAAAGAGACUACCCAUGUUCUGUGAACGAGAUUUGUUAGUAUCUGGUAACAACAGUGAAACUAUCUAACAAAAAUGAGGUAUAUAUUCAAGUGAAUAUGUGACCCUACCAAACCAGUUACCACACCCUCCACCACGGAACAAAGAAAGUGACCACUGACCAGUAUAAUUUAUUUCUUCUAGCUAAUUAAUUAACCGUGGUAGUAAAAACAUACAACAACCUUAUUACUAUUAGCCCUUCUCUGUUUCUAAGCACAUGUAGCCCACGUUACUUUUUUUCAGUUUUUUGCAUUCAUCAAAAGCUGAGAGGACAUAAACAAUUGCCACAGUACCAACUACUUUCUACAAUUCACCAAACAUCAUUGAAAGCCUACGGUUAUAGCUUUCCCUAAUUUAUAGCAAAAACAAGCUAGAAAAAAACUGACCUACAACUCUACUUGUUUUGCUUAUUUUAGAAAUUCAAAAACACAAGUUAGCAGCAACCAACUUAAAUUAUUUGGGACUAAUGUGUUUUUAUAUUUAACUAAAGAUGGAACUAAUAUAUGAUCAAAUAGCUAUCAUUCAGUAUUGGUUCAACAAUAACAAUAAAUGUUAGACAUACACAUACACUUUAAUUAAUCAAAUACAUCUGGAACAAACAACAAUAAUGGAUUGAUCAAACAUGUUUAUACCGUUAAAAAAAAAAAAUGUUGUACACCGACGAUGAUGUCCCAUUUUCAUGUAUAUGACUUAAUACUUCAACAACCAAUCUCUUACCCUAAUGUUGAGUCUAAUAAGUAAUAAUAUUAAUUAAGUGUUGAAAACAGUAGUCGAAGACUUAUUAAGGAAAACACUAGAGUAGGUACAUACAUAACUUUAUUAUCUUGGAGGGAAAUAAAAUUGGACCCAUCACAGCUCAACUAAGAAAUCACGAGCACCAAAGGACUUUACGGAUGUACCUCUAACGUGCACAGCCCACAUGUGCUUCUGCUGCUGCAUGACACGAUCAAAGUGAAGUAUAUAAAUACAUCAAUAUAUCAACAUCAAAUUUCGUUAUUUUGCAACACAAAAACUAUUUAAUCCUUAUUAUAUGCUCAGAGGGUCCAAUCCAGGGUGGAAAUUAAAAUUUGUUGUACCUACAAAUAGUUUGAACUUUUAAUUAGUUUUAAAAUAGAGAAUGGUAAGUAUUGAGUGGUACAAUACAAAGUUGGUAGCUUCCGGUGGGACACUAAGCAUGUUAGGGUGUGUGACUUCACAAAACCAUAAUUUUUGUUAACUAGUAAAAGAUUACAUGUUUAAGUACUUAAGAAUAUUCCAUCAAAAUAAAGUACUUAGGAAUAUCGAGUAUGAACUUAGAAAUAGGGUUGGAAAUAGGCUAGGCUUUGAUAGGUCUGAGUCUGGCCUACAAAAAAAUUUGCAUAAAGUACUUAGGAAUAUCGAGUAUGAACUUAGAAAUAGGGUUGGAAAUAAGCUAGGCUUUGAUAGGUCUGAGCCUGGCCUACAAAAAAAUUUGCAGGUCUGAGCUUGGCCUAUGGCCUUUCAUAGACCUAUUUUUUUGGUUUAAAAGUCUGGUCUGGCCUGAAAGCCUAUUUACAUGCCUACUUACUAUUAAAGUCACUAAAUAUUUCAUUUUAUCUACUUUUAAAUAGGCUUAAUAGGCAUCAAAGCCUAUUUCAGUGUAAGACUUGUCUAUCACUACUAUAAGGCCUUUAAAGCCUAUUUCACUAUAAAGCUUUAAAGCCUAUUUAAAAAAUCCACUAUGAAGCCUAACAUGCAUAAAGAGGCCGGCCUAUUAGGCUUCAUAGGCUUUUUUGAUAGCCUAAGCCUGACCUAUUUACUUAAAUAGGCUUUUUAAAAAACCUAAGCCUAGUCUUUUUAAUAAACAGGCCAGGCCAGGCCAUAGGCCCCUGUAGGUCGGCAUGGCCUAUUCCCAACCCUACUUAAAAAUACUUUUGAAAUAAUUUAAAUAGAAUAGAAUUGAGAUGGAAUGCAUAUCUGUGUUCAAAUAAUUUAGAAAAAAAAAAUGGUGCCUAUCAAAUUGGUAGUUAUCUACUUAUCUUCAAUGUAUAGAACCAAACAUUAAGUGUGUUCUUACGUCAAUAAAAAGAAGUUAAUACCUCAAAUAGCUUGUGUAAUUUAAACAAUGUCUUUUUUUUUGUUACAAAGGCAAAAGAAAAACAAAAAAAAAAAACACAAAAGAAAACAUGAACAACAGCUAGCCACGGGGGAAGUAAGUUCCCCAAGCAUCAUUCUUUAAGAGAGGAAGCAAUCCAUCAGGGGUGGCGGCAUGAAUAGACAAGGCUGAGUCCACGGAAGCUCCCAAUUUAACAAGAAAAUUGGCGCAGCGGUUCCCCUCACGAAGAGUGUGCAAUAUAGGAGUGUUUGAAAGUCGAAUCAGAUCAUUGAUGUCUUGGAUAAGAGUGACAUACGCAUGAUAGACCACUGUAGGUCCGUUGAUGAGGUUGAAGCAGUGGAGAGAGUCAGUAUAGCAUACAACAUCAACAAUGUUCAAGUUUUUAGCUAGCUGCAACCCCAUAAGAAUAGCAUGUAAUUCAGCAAACAAAAUGCCAUUCGAGUGUUCUAUAUGACCAGAAAAACCAGAGGUGAAGAAAUCAGAAUUGUUUCUUAUAAAACCCCCAAAGCCGGUUCAAUGAGGAGAACCAAGGCAACUCCCGUCCACAUUGAUAAUGAAGCAAGAAUGAUUGAUGAGAAGAACCAGAAUUUAAACAAUGUCUGAGAAUAAAGAAUAAAAUCUGUAAAAAUGAAAAUACAGGUUUCCCUCAUAUAAUUUUAGAUUCUUAACUUUUUAUCGGGACUAUUUUCAAACAUUUUAGGAUGCUAUUUUCAAAGUUAGUUCAAAUAUUUUUUUAAUAGGCGAGGGUAAAAUAUAAAGAACUUAAAAUUAUAAAGAUGAAGCAUGUAUUUUUAUUUUUACAAAGACCAUUUUUAGGCCUCGUCAAAAAAGAAGUUUGUUCAUGCAUCUUUUGAAAUUUUUUUAAUUUGUGCCCUUACGACAUAAAUUAAGAUAGUAUAAAUGUAUUUUUUUAGGGAUAUAAAUUUUUUUUUUUUAAUUUGUACAUUUAAUAUUCUAAGAGUUUAAGAUUUAUCUUUUUAAUAUAAAAUUUGUCUUUUAAUUUUAUUUUUAACUUCUUAACUUGUGAUCUUAGAAAACAAUCUAUCACGACUCUUGUUGUUAACUUCUUAACUUGUAAUCUUAGAGCAUAACUUGCUAAAUGAUUCGAGUAAUAAAUCACAUGAGUGUGUGUGAGAGUUAUUUGGAUUUUGUAAUGCCUCCAAAUACAAAUAGUGUUGAAGCUGGUAGAAAUUUUACGAGGCCAAGUACAAAGAAAAAUAACAAUUUUUAAUUCUUAAGUCAAUAUUUUCAGUUUCUUUUUGUCAGGCACACAUGUUAUUAUUAUUAAAAAAAUGUAGUUCUUUUUUUGGAUGAAUAGUUAAUCAGAACUCAAGUUCGAUUUUUGGUGGGAAGAAUUUUUGAUCAAACCCUCUAAAAACCGGAUGUUAACACCACAAAAAUUAUUAUUAUUGUUUUCUAAGAAAGCACACACGUUAAUUUGGAGAAACGUAACAUUCACAACAACUACUGAAUUUAUUUCCACCUAAAUUAUCAAACCUAAUUCAAUGUAACUUAAGAAAAGAGGGCGAUCAUAUAAGUAGUCACUGAAAUUGUAAAUAGCACGUGAUUAGGUGAUUUCAUAACCUAGUGUAAACAAAAUCAGUGAAUGACUAAAAUUUGCCAAGUAUGGCUCCACAAUUUAAAAUGGCUUUUGUCUAAAAUGACCUGUACCUACAUUUUUUUGUCGAACAAGAAAACAAUCUACAUUUUCAAACACAUAAUUAUGAAGGGGAUUCAUAAAUUUAAACAGUAUAUAGAUUAUAGAUAUUUUUUAAAAGAACUAAUUAAGGUUAAGGACACAUCACAUGUGAAAUAUAUAGAUUAUAUAUUUUCCCUCGUUAAAAAAAAUACAUAUUUUCCACUCAAAAGUUAUAUUGGGGUGAUGCAAGAGGGAAGAUUGUUGAUUAUGUUGGGGAUUUGAAGCUUGAUGCUUUGAUUAUGGGUAGCAGAGGUUUGGGUGUCAUACAAAGGUACUACUACCUUGGUUUGUUUUCCUUUUUGUUUGUGUUUUUUUUUAUUGAAAUAUGCUUUGGUUAUGGGUUGCAGAAUAAAAUAUCGGAAUUGCUUCCCUGUGCGGUUGCAUUACUCUUUUCUAAGCCAUUAUUUCAUAUCUAGGCAAUCAAAAGGUUGUAUGAUUUAAUUGUAACGACAUUUUAUUCUUUCUUUUUUUUUCUUGAUAUUUGACGAGCCUUACUAACCUAAUCUGAACUUUCCUUCAACAAAAAAAAAAACCUAAUCUGAACUUUGUGGCAAAUACUCAUUUAUAUGAUUACUAAAAAAAAAUUGACUUUAAAAUUUCAUAUACAAUUUUUGCAUUGGUAAUUUUAAUUUGAGUUAAUUUCAAUCGGAGUUAUUGCAUUGGAAUUAUGUGUAAUCAAGCCAUUAUUAUACACGAUUUUAUUUUGAGACUUGAAUUCCUGUAUUUCUUUCAUUUUAGUUCAUGCGUAGUGUAUCUUUGAAAGUCGUAGAUUGAUCAAUUUUUGACAUUUGAUUAUGUAUUUUCUGGCAACAAUAUGUUGUCGUUAAGCAACAUUAAUCCAAUGUAUCCGGCGCACCAGCAACAAAUUAACAAUCCAUGAUUCGAUUACCUUAUUAUUCAAUUACGAUAUUGGUUGUUAUUUGUGCAGUAUGUCUGCCAUUGCGGCGAUUUUCAAUCUGAUGUUUUUUAUUUAUUCAUAAUGCCUAUUAUAUGUUUGGUACUUGACAUUGUACAUGAUUACACAACCUUAUUUUUAUCUCAUUGUUUAUUACAUCUACACUGGUAUCACUACUUCGUAUCGUUAAGUAUAGCUAAUUUACUAAAUCUCUGUGAAGCGAUAACUGACAAGAUAUUUUCGUUGCAACAUACUCUAUUAAACGAGUGGAAGAAGCAUCAGAUUAAAACCUUACACUGCAACUCAUUGUAUCUACUAAAUGCUUGGAAACUAUGUUAAUUAUGCAAUCAGUUCAGCUUCUGUUUUGAAGUUUGGUGACCGUUAAACCAUGUAGUUACAGUGCACAUAGUAUUUGCUGCUAAACUUUGUCACUUAAUGCUGAACAGGACGCUAUUUGACAUCUUAGUAUAGUCAAUUGCUUACUGAUCUCUGUUAUGUUAUCAUUCCGAGCAACCUUCUAUGAACACCGUACCUUAUUAUAAUCUCAUUUCUUAUCAAUCAUAACUUCCUAUCUGUUACAUAUAGCUAAUAUUCUAAUUUUUUUUAGAAGCAAGAACUGAUGCAAUUUUUCACAGCCAGAUAAACUAAUAAAUGAGUAGAUUUGUCAUUUGAUGUCUACCUUACAAUUCGGAUCAUUGUGUAUAAUUAGCUACAAUGAAACCAUGUUAUCUUAUCCAUCAGUGCAUCUAAUAUCUUAAAUUGCGGUGACUGUUAAACCAAGAUUGCAUUUACAAGGCACACAAUGCAUUCAAAUAAACUUUGCCUAUUUCUCCUGGAAAGGAAAUUUUUCGACAUCUUAUUGUAGUCAUUUCAUAACUGAUCUCUAGUUAGUUAUUAUUCAAAUCAUAAUUCUAUGUUUCCCUAUGUAGCGGCGACUAUCCAAAAUGAUUCAGAUAUUCGUUUUGAACACCUAUUUGAAAACUAAUCUGUGUUGUGCACAAACUGCCAUAUAUUUAAUGUCAGUUUCAACAAAUGAAGCACCUGUAUCUGUUAGUAUAUAGUGGAGAUGGUUCUCAUAUCUUAGAUUGCGGCGAAUUUUUGAAUCAUUCAAAUUUGUUGUUCAAACUAAAGACACAGGCCACACAUAUGUUUAUGCUCUGUAUGAAAUUAUGACUUAAUGAUGUCUAUACAUGGAUAACACUUCCAAUGUUAUUUACACAAACAUUGUAUUUGCACAAACAGAUUAUGAAUUAACAGUAUAAUUGAAUGUUUUGUUUUACAUCAAUAUGAUCCGUGCGGCAGCACGGGUGCAAGGUCCAGUUUAUGAACUAAAAUUUAACUGCAGUUUCCAAAAGCUAAGACUAUUAUAAGAUCCAACCAUUUUUACAAUUUCAAUUUUAUACUUAUUAUUUUUACUAGUAACUAAUAAGUAUAUCUAAUCCCCUAAAAAAAAUCUAAUUAAAAAAAUGCAAUGAAAUGGGUAUAAGCCAAGAGAUCAUAAACUAAAGACAAGAGGAAUUUGUUUUUCUCUCUUUCAAAAUAGCUCAUUCCCUUAAUUAUGCACAACGUGAUUUAAUUCACGUUGGAUUUUUUUUAACAUGAGUUAACUCACGUUGGACAUUUUUCUGCGUGAGUUAACUCACAAAGACACUUUUAGGAAAUCAUAUAUUGCUUAUGGAAAUUUUAGGGAAUACAAGACUGAUGAAAGCUUGCCCUUGAAACUCGGCACAAAAUCACAUCGGCUAAAAAUAGCGUGCACGAAAAAUCAAUAGGGUGGGAAAAGAAGCCGUCCUAAAACUUUGCUAGAAUAUAUUUAGAGACCUUGCGCCCAAAACAUCCCUUGCGCCCAAAACAUCCCUUGCACUGGGCUCAAUGGCCAAAUUGAAACUAAAAUGAAAAUUGCUCUUCUCCCAUCCAAUAUUGCUCCCUCCCAUACAAAUUGACGAAAAUACCACCCACGUGACUUAAGUCACGCAGGUGUUAUGCCCAACGUGACUUAAGUCACUAUGGGUUACAACCUGAGUGAGCUAACCCACGCUGAAAAUACCAAUGAAAAUUGCUCUUCUCCCAUCCAAUAUUGCUCCCUCCCAUAAAAAUUGACGAAAAUACCACCCACGUGACUUAAGUCACUAUGGGUUACAACCUGAGUGAGCUAACCCACGCUGAAAAUACCAAGUGUGACUUAAGUCAUGCAGGUUGUAACCCAGAGCGACUUAACUCACUCAUGUUGUAACCUAGAGUGACUUAACUCACAUUGGGUAUAACACAUGCGUGACUUAAGUCACAUGGGGGGUAUUUUCGUCAGUUUGUAUGGGAGAAAAGCAAUUUUCAACUAAAAUAAUCUAGACCGAUUGCCCAGUUUCUAUUACAUGGUUCUCUUGAAAGAAAAGAAACCCCUUCUUUCUCUAAAAAAAAAAAAAAUGGAAGAAUAUCAAUAUUUGUUAUAAGCUUCUUGCCGUUGUCACCGUAUAGCAACUUAGUUUCCAUCUUCUUGAGCAUAUAAAUAACUAAUGGUUGAAAUUGGUAGAAGAAACCUGAGUCCCACCCACUCCUAUGCAGUUGCUGAAAAAUCAUGAGCACAACCUAGGCCAUUACUCUGGACUUGACAAAGACACGCUACAGACUCCACUCAUUAAAAUCUUAAUUUAGAAUGGAAAUGAUAAAUAUGAAAAUUUAUUCAAAUUAAGUGUGUGUGUGUGGGUGGGGGAUUAAAAGUGGCACUAGUUAAUGCACUGCAAUGGAAAUACACCUCUGUACAGUAAACGUAAUCCAUCCUCAAGUAAUAGAAUCAUCUUUGUAAUAGAAUCUGUUUCAAAAUUGCUCAAAAAAAAACAGAAAAACAAUACAUGUACAAAAUCCAUCCUCAAGUGGCUUGAUUUGGGUAUAGAUGUUAAAGUAGAUAUAUAAUAAAUAUCAGAUACUUCGUAGUACUCAACAAACAAACCAAUACAUCUCAUUUUCAUGAUAUUGUUUCAGUGAAACAACAUUCCAAGUCAAUAGAUAUGCAGUUACAGCUUGCAAGUACCGCUGAGACAAAAUGGAUACAAAAACAGAUACAAAAAGUUUUCUAAGCACCUUAGUUUGCAUUUGUACAUGGAUGUAUGAGAACAUAACAUUAAGUAAAGAACACUUGGAUGUAUGAGAAGAAAAAUCUAAAAUAUAAAAACAGAUAAGCAACCAAAUUCAUAAGUACAUGUUCAAAAGUCUAGUCUAGGGAAAGCAUUAGAGUAGAGAGGUAGCCUAUUAAAAAGUAGUUGUCUAGCAAAGCUCAGUUUCAAAUUUGAGGUUAAUACCCAUGCUGAACAGCUCCUGAGACAAUAACUUAGCUCCAUAUGGAACACUGGCCACCACAAUGUCAUCGGCUGAUUCACAGAUUCGGCAAUAGGGACCUGGUAUUUUUCGGCCACCAGAUACCGGUCGCAAGAUCACAUUUGCAACAUUUUUGCAUUUACUACAAAUGUGUAUCUGAGACGAAUCACUCAGGGUGAAGAGGCGCUCAUACAAGUUGGCUGAUGCACCAUGAGCUAUCAGACAAUCACGCUCCAUCUCACCAAACUUGAUACCUCCAAAUCGCUUCCUGUCAGCAACAGGCUGUCUGGUCAGCGGGUGAACUGGGCCAGUGUUCCUGAACUUUACUUUGUCCUCUGACAUGUGGUGCAGUCGCUGGUAGAAUGUAGGGCCCAUAAAUAUGAGAGAGCAGACCAUCUCACCAGUCCUCCUAUUGUAUACUCGUUCUUUUCCCCAACUUGAAAAUCCAGCUCUGUCAUGUACGGAACAUAAACAGGACUCAAUACAACAACAAAACAUGACAACUUAAAAGUGAAACUUUGGAAUGAAAUUCCUAAAAUUAAAGUGAGCCUGGAGCAAAUGCAAAAAAAGGAUCUACAACUAGGAAGACAAUAUUGGUAAAUAAGAAACAUCAGUCAUCCAGUAAGCAAGAUCAAAAAAUUGAAAUACAAGUUCCUCCUCUACAAUAACAUAAAAUAUAAGUAACCUAAUCUGUAAUUAAGGUAAGCUAAGUCGAGAUGAAGCAUUACCUGUGAAGCUGGUCUGUGAUGGCUUCGACAGAGGAAUGGGAGAAAGGAGUAGCAUUUCUCAGUGAACCAACACAAGCAAUGCCCUUUCCUAAAGCAGCUUCUAGGAGUUGCCCAGGAGUUUGUCGUGAGGGAAAUGCAUGCGGAUUUAUGACAAUAUCCGGAACAAUACCUUGUUUUGCGAAAGGAAAUUUUUCCCGAGACUCCAGAAAUCCUAAAACACCCUUCUGUUCGUGCAUACUGGAGAACUUAUCUCCAAGAACUGGACUUCUAACCUGCAAAAAUUAUUAAAAGCUUUUCUUAGUGAUCAAAUACAACAUAGCGGUAAAAGAAAUUGCAUUUCAGUAGUGAAAAGAUAAAUAAAAUUACCUGCCUUAACGAAACAACAGCAAAGUUCUUCCCCUCAUCAUUCGAGGACAGCACAACCUUUUGAACAUAUACCCUUUCGGUGUGUUUUAACUUUAUACUAUGGUCUGUCCCUGAAUCAGCACACCGACCAAUAAUAAUAUCACCACUCUGCAAAUUCCCACCAACAAAUGGAAACCCAUCAUCAUCAAGGCUAUCAACUCGACCAAUUUUACUCUGUAUCUAUCCAAAAUUAACAAUGUCUUCAGGUUUCUUUCUCUUUUCUGAAGAUUCCUUGUUUUCAAUUUCAGCUUUGUAACUCCUUAUGUGCUCAGAUCUGAACAUACCACGCUGCAAAGAAGUGUGGUUCAUCACCAAGGAAUCUUCUUGAUUAUAUCCAAGAUGUACAUUGACAGCCACAAUUGCAUUCUGCCCAUUAUAGAAUUCAGAUUUUGGAACAACUUUACUUUGACCUAGUAAUCCAGGUUUUCCAAGACAAUCAGAUGUUGUUGUCUGAAAUAAUGGUCUCUGAGGAUAAAAUAAUUGGUGAGACAAAGCAUCGACUCUUACAUUUGGGUUUGUUGUAGAAAAGCCAAUGGCCUGUGAAGAAUGCUUCUGGGAUUGAUACAACACUCUCCUAGCAUGGUCAUGAUUGGCAAAUGGAACAAGUGAACAACUUAGACCCAAUAAGAUCGACAUAUCAAGUUCACAGUGUGUAUACUUCACAGAAGAUUUUUCCUCUUUUCCAAAUAAAUACUGAACACCCCAAGCCGUCUUGAAGUCCUCUUCUUCUUCAGGACCAAUCAGCUCAAUCACACCAUUAUCCAAUAGGGACUGAAAAGAUUUACGCUCUGACUUAGAUCCUUUAAUCUUGAGCAGAUUAUUAACCACUAAGAGUGGACGGAGAAUCCUUCCUGCAUCAGAUAAUAUGCGCACUUCUCGUUGAUUUUGAUCUCUUUUGAUUUCCACCUAAAUAGACAUGGUUAACACUAGGGUCAAAAGAAACAAAACCAACUAAAUAAAAAAUUAAUUGCAAUUACUACAGUACAUUUUACACCACAAUCUUUAUUUAGUAUUUCGAGCAAUUGUUUCCCUUUCAGUUGUUCUCUAUUUCUACAGAAGGUGUCUAUCACAAUCUUAUCAAAACAAUAACGUUCCAAAACUAAAAUGUUGGCUAGCUAUUGACAAAUGUGUAAAUUGAAAGACAACUGAGAACAUGGUAUGUGUGUGAACCAAUUUUUGAUGGAGGAGAACAUAACGACAAAGCAUUUUGCAGAGGUAGUUCAUAUAGAGACAUGGUCUCACUCGAACAGGAAGCAAAGUUCAAACAUAUAAUAUAAUUACGCUAACCAUUUAAUCAUAUGUUAGACAUAAACUAAGCUGCAAUGUUAUUAUCGAAUAAAGACCAAGUUUCCAGAUGCUUAAUAUAUGACUAUGUUAUUUGUUAAUUAGUGUAUCAUCUUCUCUGCAAGUUGGAAUGGUUUAGUUUAAGCUAUUAAACCUCAAAUUAAUAGCAUUCAACGACAACCUUUUUCUACUAUAUGGAUUCUCUCCAUGGCUGAAAUGAAAGGCAAGUGCUAUAAAAUAUAUAAAAUAAGAAUGAGAGAAUAAAAGUGAACCUGAUGAUGCAGUUCAUUUUUCCGUCUUCUAUUUCGUAGCUCUGCCACAAAUGGUGCAGAAUCUGAACAAACUCCAACCCAGUCCCCAUUUAGGAAGACUUUGUCUUUUUUUCCAAGAACAGUGGUAGUAUCAUCAACAAGUUCUUCCAUCCCACAAUCAAACAACAUAGGAAGUAUAGAUUCAGUUACAUUGGUACUCACUACUCCUGUGGCAGCCAAAUUCUUUACUAGUCCGCAAUUUUCACCAUCUGGGGCAGAGAGGAAACAAACCUUUUACCCCAGUGAGAAGGAUGCCUGCAAACACAAACUUCCAUUAAAAUGAAUGAAAGCAUUUAAAUUUUUAUAAUAAACAAAGCAAUAAUUCAAGCAUGUAUUUGAACUUUAAACUUUAAGAGAAAUCAAGUAUUCAUUGUACCACAAACAUCAAUCCCUUCACUAGGGAACAAGUAUACAGCUAAAGCUACUAAGACAAUGCCAGAAACCAAAUCAAACCCUGUAAAGGUUGGGAAGUUGAUACUUAUAAAGUGAUACUGAUGCCAGUCAUGACUAACAAAGAGAUAACAGAUUUCAACAUGAUUUCUCACCUAACCAUUUUAAUCAGAACUUACUAAUUUAUCAGAUACAUGCCCUCAAUGAGGGCACUUUACAGAAGCUGAUACUGAAAAUGAAAUGGAAGAGACCAAGAUAGUCACGCCAAAAAAACUUGGCAUCUAGUCUACACAGGUGGCAAAUAAAGUAUUGAAUUGAUAAACCAUGAGUUUUAAAGAGCAUACAGUCGGUAGACUGGUUUAACUUUGGUAUUCUUGAUGAUAGCAAUAUUCCAAGGGGACUUCACUUAACAUGUUUAUGAGUUAUAUUGAGUCCAAAAAAAAAAGGAUCAUUAGUUAUAAGAUUUGGUAUGAUGAUGAUAUUUAACGUUCAUUCAGUCAGCUAGGAUAAAAAAAUCUAUUGAGACACUUUACCCAUCACAAAAGCUAUAGAAAGACUAAACUAGACAGUUAAAAGUAACUUACGGGUAUCUAGCAUCCCCAACCUUUCCUGUGUAUUGAACUUGUUGCCUUGUUCUUCUUAAUUCAGCCAUGGUUUGCAAUGGAUUAAUUCGGCCAAGAGUUGCAACCACACCAGAAAUCCUUUCCAUCCUUUUAAAAGGAUGUGUCCAUGCUCCAGUAGAGAAUGCUCUUUGGAGACCAUUUGUAAUAAUGGAAGCAUCAAGAUAAUGCUCAAUUUGACGAACAUCUCGAUCUCCAUAGAGGUCUCUUUGCAGAACCUUCCCCAUUUGCUUCCGAGCAUGUGCAAAGUGCACUUUGAUCUCGUGCUCGAGCAGCUCACCGGCCAACUCAAGUGAUGCAGGAGGGUUUUAUUAGUAAUUUAGUAGUAUUUAUUAUUUAGCCAAAUCUUAGUAAUUUUCUAGAACUCUAUUAUUAUUAUGUUUUAUUUUAUUUUAGCCCACGGGUUUGUUAUUUCUUUCACUAUAUAAGCAUAACUAAUGUAGCCUAAGAGGCACACUUUUAUUCAUUAAUAAUAUUCGAGACUUUUCUCUCAAUUCUGGUGGAUUCCGGAAACCCUUAUUUUGAUAGGUUUGUCGCUUGCUAACCCUACGCUUCCGUACUGCGACUUCAAGCCUCUUAUUUCGAAAGUCAUCCCUGUUAUCCGUUUUUUGGCGUCCAGUAUAAGCCAGUAAGAGAACCUUCACCAUGUAUGCCAGGUCCGUGCCUUUCUUUUUAAUCCCUUAAUGUUCGGAAAGACAUACAAGUUGAGGCACGCAUCAAUAGAUUCUGAGGGCAGAAAUUGGACACCCUUAACACGUUCCUCUAAGAAAAGAACAGCAUUCUUUCCCCUACGAAAUGUAUCACAUUUGUCGUCGGCUUCACGAAUGGAUACAAAUAUAAUGUUAUGAAUUCUUCCAUCUCCCUCUCAAUAAUUGAUGAGAUCAACAAUCUCUUUACCUGAAGUGGCACCAAGGGCAUAAAAUAGUAUCCAUACCGGAAUCUCACAGACAAAAAAAUAUAUUGUGAGCAACUUCUCUUCAUUUUUAAUUCCUUCAAUGCUGGAAUUCUCCACCAAGUUAACAACCAUCCUAUUUCUCUUCAUCUGUGACUUGUAUGCAACUGCCCAAUACGGAAUAUUUGAAACCCAAAGCCUCUUCAGAAAUAUUUGCUCUGAAUUAAAAUGUAGACUAGAGACACAUGUUUUUAAUUGUGGAUAAAUUUUACUCAAAUUUAGUCUCUAUUUUGAAAACCUCAUACAAAAAAUGAGUACUUUUAAUUCCUAAAGCAAAAUAGGGACUAAAAUUUAAUAAAAUUUAUGCAGGGAACUCAAACGGCUGUGAAUUGUAUAGGACUAAAAAUAUAUGUAACAAACAAGAUAGAAAUUCAUGUAAGUAAAUAAAGAAAUCAUAAUUAUAGAUAACCUUCUCAGCACCCUUGAUCAGAAAGUAGCCUCCAUGGUCAAAUUCACAAUCACCUUUUUCAACAUCACUCAUCCAGCAGAGAUCUGACUUGACCAUAACAGGCAGUCUCCCAAAAGUUAUUUCUCUCUUCUCCUCCAUGAUUAUCUCUCUAUCAAUAUACUCCUCUUUUCCUGUCUUAAAUUUAUCACUCUGAACCUUCUUCGGAGUAUAUACCUGAAAUUAACACACACACACACACGCACGGUUGUGUUACCCAAACAUCAAAGACACCAUACGUGUUUAUCUCUAUCUCUCUCAUUUUUUUACUUCUACAACUUACCCACAUUUCAAAAUUACACAAUAAAAUCAAUGCAUUUCUCAUAUAACAAAAAUAACAAACAGGAACCACAAAUUUCAAAGCAUAAAAAAUAGUAACUCUUGACAAAAUCACAACAACACCUUAAUUUAUUAUAAUGUUGCCAAAUCCACAUAGAAAAAUGAAAACUUUAAGAAAUGAUUCCGAUUUUUUAAUUUUUUUUAUAUUCUACAACUUACCCACAUUUCGAAAAUACAUACAAAAAUCAAUGCAUUUCUAAUAAACACCAAUUUAUUAUGAAUGCUAACCCACAUAGAAAAAUGAAAACUUUUAAGAAAUGAUUCAAAAUUUCUAACCUGAACUUGAACAUCAAUUUUGAUUUUGGAAGCAUAGGUCAUCCUCUGAAGACGAGCAUGUCUAAGAAGCAUAACGGUAAUGUUCAUUUUCUCCUUUCGUAGAAGGGUCAAAAACCAGGCGUAACUGUAAGCUCUCCAAAGGAAUUGAAAGCAUUUUGAAGACCAGAAGUGAUGAAUUAAUUAUAGGAAUUGAUUUGGUGACUGAUUAAACCGUACUCGUUGAAGAACACGAUGGAAGCUUUUUUGCAGAAAUAUUUGACCAUGUCUUCACCUAGUUCGUUGAGGAUUUCAGCAUUUGAUGGUUUUUCUUCAUCGUCGUUUAGGUCAAUGUCCAUUUCCAAGUUAGCGUCUUUGCUUGAACCGACGUGACCCAUGGAUUGGUUGUUGAGAACUUCUUCUUCAUUACUGUAGAAACUCACUAAGAUAUAAGAAAUAUUUGUAUAUUCAUUGUAUGUUGCAAGUAUAAGGAAAUUGUCCUGAUUAUAUUAUAGGAUUGUUGACAAAGAAACACAAGAAAUAAUUAUACAUAAAGACUAAUUACUCCUAAAAUAAUUAAAAUAAAUAGAGAAUUAUAAUAUAUCUUAACAUCCCCCCUCAAACUCAAGUGGGCGGAGCUUCAACCAACUUGAGUUUGAAAACUAAAGUGCGGAAGCGUCCUGGACAAUGAGGUUUUGUGAACAAAUCAGCCGGUUGAUCAAGAGUGCCAAUGGAGAUAAGAUGAAGUUCACCACGGAGAAGAUGCUGACGAAUGAAGUGACAAUCGAUUUCAAUAUGUUUGGUUCGCUCGUGAAAAAUGUCAUUGUGGGCAAUUUGAAUCGCACUUCUAUUGUCACAAUAUAGAUCAGUUUGUGAAGAUUGUGAUGUCUCUAAAUCAACAAGAAGCCAACGAACCCACAAUAUCUCAGAAGUAGUAUCAGCAAGAGCACGAUAUUCAGCUUCAGUGCUAAAGCGAGCUGUCAAGGUUUGUUUCUUGCUACACCAAGAUAUAAGAGAAUCUCCAAGAAAAAUACAAAAUUCAGUGGUGGAACGACGAUCACUAGGAUCACCGGCCCAAUCGACAUCAGAGUAGGCUCUAAGAAUCAAUGGAGAUGUAGAUGAGUAAUGAAGACCAUAAAAUAAAGUACCCUAGAUAUACCGAAAAAUCCGAAGGACAGCAGCGUAAUGUGUGGUACGUGGAGAAGCCAUGAAUUGGCUAACAAGAUGAACAACAUAUGAAAUAUCUGGCCGAGUAACAGUGAGGUAUAUAAGACUACCUACGAGCUGCCAAUAAAGAGUAGCAUCAUUAAGUAAAGUACCAUCUUGAGGAGUAAAUCGAACGUUUGGUUCAAGAGGAGUGUGUUCAAUUUUACUAUCACUGAGACCUGCUCGAGAGACAAGAUAAGAAGCAUACUUAGCCUGUGAGAGAAACAAGCCAUCACUCGAAGAUGAUACUUCAAGCCCUAGAAAGUAACUUAAUGGUCAAAGAUCCUUCAUCUCAAAAUGUUGACACAGGAAUUUAUUGAGCUCUUCAAUUCCAGCAGAGUCAUCUCCAGUGAUAAUCAUGUCAUCGACAUAAAGAAGUAAGACAACAGUACCAUUAUCAAUUUUUCGAGUAAAGAGAGCAGAAUCAUGACCACUGGAGGAGAAAUUCAAUUGGGUGAUAGUCUUGUGAAAUUUAGCAAACCAAGCUCGAAGUGCUUGUUUGAGACCAUAAAGAGCCUUGCGAAUGCGACAUACUUUAUUUUCCUGACAAGUAUAUCCAGGAGGAGGACACAUGUAAACCUCUUCUUCUAACUCACCAUUAAGAAAUGCAUUUUUAACAUCCAUUUGAGUGAGUUUCCAUUUGCAUGUGGCGACAAUGGCAAGAAGUGUUCGAACAGAGGUGAUGCGUGCAACAGGGGCAAAUGUUUCUUCAUAAUCAAUACCAUACUCUUAAGUGAACCCUUUUGCCACAAGACGAGCUUUGUAACGCUCAAUAGAUCCAUCAGAGAGAGUCUUUAUUUUAUAAACCCACUUGCAACCUACAAGAGUCUUAUUAGAAGGAGGAUCAACAAGGUCCCAAGUGUGAAUUUUCUCUAAUGCCUGUAAUUCUUCCUGCAUAGUUUGCUACCAAUAAGGAUUUGUUGAGACUUCCUUAUAGGAUUGUGGUUCAUGAUAGUGAAGCAUAGUGGAAUAACAAUGGUAAUUACGAAGGUAGGGAGGUGGAUUUCUUACCCGUUUAGGAAGCUCAAUGGUGGGUGGUGCAGGAUCAACAAUCGGAACAACAUCAUCAGGAGUGGGUUGAACAUCAGAAGAGGUUGGAAGCUCACUAGAAGAACAUGCAUAUGUCUAAGAACCUGCAUGUGUGUCACUAGGAAAAAGGUCAACAUCAGGGUUAGUAAAGAGAGGAGUGGAAGUAGACGGGAUUGACUUAAACUUUGACAAGGAAGAGAACAUUAUAUGUUCCCAAAAGACAACAUGGCGAGAGAUGCAAUGCGUUGGGAUAUUGGAUCCUAACAUCGAUAGCCUUUGUGUUAAGUGCCAUAACCAAGAAAACAACACAGACGAGCAUGAGGCUCAAGUUUAGUAAACUCAUGGGGUUGAAGGAGGACAAAACAAGCACAACCAAACACCUUAAGUGAGUUAUAAUUUGGUGUAGUGAGAUAAAGACGCUCAAAAGGAGAGACAUUACCAAGGACAGAGGAAGGGAGACGAUUGAUUAUAUGGACUGCGGUAAGAGCGGCUUCAUCCCAAGCGUGUUCUGGACACGAGGCUGAGAUAAGCAUGGCACGGACUGAGUCAAGAAUGUGACGAUGCUUUCUCUCAGCACGACCAUUUUGUUGAGAUGUGUAUGGACAUGAAAAUUCAGACAAGGUACCCUGCUCACUAAGAAAUGACAAGAGUUUAGAAUCACGAUAUUUCAUGGCAUUAUCUCACCGAAAGACUUUAAUGACUUUAGAAAAUUGUGUUUGAAUCAUUUUGGCAAAAUUGAUGUAAAUAUGAGGAAGCUCGUGUCUAUUUUUCAUCAUAUAUAUCCAUGUAAAGCGAGAAUAAUCAUCAAUAAAUAGAACAAUAUAACGAGAACCUCCCAUAGUAGGUGUGGGAGCAGGACCCCAAAUAUUAGAAUGCACUAUAUCAAAUGGUGAAACUGAAAUGGAAGUACUUUAAUCGAAAGACAAGACUAGUUGUUUAGCAAUUUAACAAGCAGUACAAUCAAAAGACUCAUUGGCGACAUAUCCUAAAUAACCUCGAGACACUAGAGGACGCAACUUACCAAUUGAACUAUGUACUAGACGAUGAUGCCAAAGUUCAAUGGGCGAAUGUGUGGAAGCUGCACAAAUGUUUGACUCAUGAGGAAUAUGCAGUUCAGUGAGCUCAUAUAACCUUCUGAUCUUACGCCCAGUCCCUAUGAGUUGUCGGUCCGUGGAUCCUGCACAUGAUAUCAAGAGAAAGAGAAUAUAAUUUCAUAACCAAGGUCACAUAAUUGUCCAACAGAGAUAAGGUUAAAGUUGAGUUUAGGGAUAAGAUAUGUAUUAGGUAGGCUUAAAUUAGAGAGGGAGAUAGAACCUGUAUGGCUUACGUGCAUAAGAGAUCCACCGGCGGUGUGGAUAGAAGGAUUAAUGUCAUUUUUUGAUAGGGAAGAAAAUAAAUAAGAUGAUGAUGUCAUGUGGUUACAACAUGCAGAAUCAAGAUACCAUUUAGAAUUAUCUGGUGUAGUGGAAAGAGCGGCAGUGGAAAGAGCGGCAGGAGCAUUAUCAGAAGAAAAAAGUUGUCUCAAAAGAGACUCAAUAAUUUGUGACACCCAAUGGAGUCAGGAUGAGAUUGAUUCCGAUUUUGAUCAGACCGUGGAGGACGAGUGAGACAAUUUUGAAUCAAGUGACCGGCUGUCUUGCAGUAUCGACAACAAUUUGAAGUAAUAUGACCCUUUUUCAUGCAGUUAUAACAUUCAACAAUAGGACAAUAGGAGAAAGAAUGUCCAAAAUUACGGCAACGAUGACAAUAUUCCUCCAUCGUGAAAAUUGACCAAAUCACGUUGUUGUGUUUUGAGGCACAGAGGAAGAAGUUUGCUGCAAUUCACGUUAACAAUUGUGAUUGAUGAUGUCACAAUUGGAAAGGUAAUGCAAAGGGGAAAUUGCACAAAUGUGGCAACGUAAAUAUGAAGGACACGUUGGCAAUAUUUGGUGGAAUGGGUUUGAUGUGGUGAUUGGUUUAUGAGAGAAUUAAGUAAAUACACUGAUGGAUAGCGGCGGUGAUCAAAGAAAAAUGAAUACUCAGGAAGGAAAACAAUAAUGACAAAAAGAAGAGACAGGAAAACCUAAGCUCUUGAUAACAUGUAAAAACUCAGGAAGAUAUAAAAAAUAUUUGUAUAUUAUGUGUCUCAAGUACAAGAAAAUUGUCCUAUUUAUAUUAUAGGAUUGGAGACAAAGAAACACAAGAAAUAAUUAUACAUAAAGACUAAUUACUCCUAACAUAAUUAUAAUAAAUAGAGAUUAUAAGACUGGUGCUAGUUACACCCCAAAAAAAACUAGUUACACCCAAAUUUAUUUAAAAUUUUACAAUAAUAUCAAAAUUGUCCUCUUCAUGUAAAUGUUUAAAAACCCAUCUUUUAUGAUCGUUCUGAACCCUUACCCCCUUUCAUCCACAAAUCAUCAUAGAUGUGCAACCAAUAUCUGAAUCAACAUCUUUGUUAUUGAUCUGUAAUAUAUUCAUAAAGGUUAGUGAAUUUCAUGAAUUUCAUUUUCAAUGAGUUUCUAUUUGUUUAUUGUUUGUUUUGGUAUGAGAUAUGUUCAAUUUAGGUUAGUGUAAAUUAAGUUUACUUAUGUUCAAUUUAGGUUAAUGUAAAUUUAGUUUACUUAUGUCAAUGUAAAUUAAGUUUACUUAUUAUGUUCAAUCUAGGUUAAUGUAAAUUUAGUUUACUUUACCUUCAAUCUAGGUUAGUGUAAAUUCAGUUUACAUGUAUAUAAGAGGUUAGUGUAAACUCAGUUUACUCAAUCGAGGUUAAUGUAAAUUAAGUUUACUUAUGUUCAAUCUAGGUUAAUGUAAAUUCAGUUUACUUAUGUUCAAUUUAGGUUAAUGUAAAUUUAGUUUACUUAUGUCAAUGUAAAUUAAGUUUACUUAUUAUGUUCAAUCUAGGUUAAUGUAAAUUUAGUUUACUUUACCUUCAAUCUAGGUUAGUGUAAAUUCAGUUUACAUGUAUAUAAGAGGUUAGUGUAAACUCAGUUUACUCAAUCGAGGUUAAUGUAAAUUAAGUUUACUUAUGUUCAAUCUAGGUUAAUGUAAAUUAAGUUUACUUAUGUUCAACUUAGGGGUAUUAGUCAUUCUGAGGUGUAACUUGUUUUUUUUGGGGUGUGACUAGCACCAGUCAGAUUAUAAUACUCCUUCCGUCCCUUAAUACUUAUCCAUUUGGAAUAUUUUUAAUUUUGACCUAAUUGGUUUUGACUGUAUUUUUCAACUAAUAUGCAAAGAUAAAUAACAUUAUAUAAGAUAUCGUUAGAUUCGUCUCGAUGAGUAUUUUCAAAAUAUCAAAUUUUUAUAAUUUUUCAUAAUAUAUUAUUCAAGAUAUUUAGUCUCAAAGUUAUGCAUUGACAUGCGUAAUAAGGUCAACUGUGUCAAGUAUGUCCUAAAAUAUAAGCAAAAAAAUCUCAUAUUUUUUGUCUCAAAAUAUAAGUAAAAAAUACCAACUUUUAUGCUAUUAUUAUGUUUUUUUCAAACAAAUCAUCUUUUUCAAUGUAAAAUUAAAUGCAAAUUGCAUUCAAUUUGUUCUCCUUUUUAUUUUCUCCAUAAUUUUUAACUAAUGAGAAUUAUUUUUACAUCUUUCCAUAAAACUUAUUCCAAGAAGAACACAAAAAAUUAUAACUCAAAUCACUAAAUGUUAGUUUUCUUAAUAAGUGUGAAUUAGUGUUUUUUGCUUAUAAAUUAGGACGGAGGGAGUAUAUCUUAACAAACUGCGAUGAUGAAAUCUAGGGUUUAAGGAAAAGGAUUGCUACAAUUUACCCCUUAACGCUUAACUUGGUACUCUCACUCUGCGGUGUAGUACAGUGUGAGUGUGAGAGUUUUGAAAUGCCAACAUUUGGCUUAAUAGCAGUUUUUCGCUCUCUAACUUUCACGAAAUUGCGAUUUUGAUCCCCUAAAAAAAUCGCAAUUUUGAUAAAGUUAGGGGUCUAAAACUGCUAUUAAGCAUAUGAGUUUCUAAAUUUAUCAAUUUUUUCAGCAAUUUAAGUAUACUAUUUUAGCAUUUGUUUAAAAAAAAAAAAAAGCAAAGUAUACUGCUGGUUAACAUAAGUACUUUUUUAAUGUUUAAACGUGCUAUUGUGAGUUUAAUUUGUAUUUGUCAAUGUAAAAAAAAUUGUAUGCAUGCAUCUUGAUCUGUCCUGGUCAAAAUGAUUUUAAUUGCAAAAUAUGAUAGAGUGUAACAUCCAUGUCUACAAAGUUUUACACCGGUAUGUAUUAGUUGAAUUCUUGUUAUAGAAUAGAAAAUAUUAAAGUCAUAUUUUCUACACGGACAUGUUAGAUCUCAAAUUAUAACUUAAUCUUGCAUGUCUAUUGAUAUGAUUUUUUUGUCAAGUAGUUUAGUGGUUAAAAUUCAUCUUAAUUCAAAGUGAAUAAAUGGGGUGUCCAGGAUUCGAACCCUCGGCUCCUGCAUAUAAUAAUGUAUGUUCUUGCCAACCAGCUAUGCCCACAAUGACAUGUCUAUUGCUAUGUUAGUCUAUUUAAAAAUGACAAAUUAGAUUUAAGAGAAAUGAUAUUUGUACAACUAUUUUUGUGCAAUUGUUCGACAACUUUCUUUCUCAUACUUAUAUCGUAUCAUUAUUCUCUUUCUUUUUUCUCUUUGUUGUUUUUGAAAAGAUCGAGUCAGACCUUAUAAUAGAUAAAUAUCAAGUUUGAGCCUUCAAUUUAUUAGACAAGUGAAGUAUAUUUAUUACUACAACCCUUACAUUGCACUUUUUUUGCGCUACAUACCCUUAAUCUGCCAUAUUGUAACUCUCCCAAAAAAAAAAUAUAACUAGCUUGAAAAAUCCAAUUCUAAUAUGAUCAUUAGUUCAUUGAGUGUAAGGAAAGAAAACUACAAAGAAGAUGAAGAUGAUGCUCAAGAUCAUAUAAAAUUCAAAAGUUGGACUUAAAAAGAUAUGGAAUAUGAGAAACUAGGAUACCGUUUGGCCCGGCUUUUUUUCAGCUUUUCUAAGUUUUUAAGGAGAAGUUAGGCCAAACACAAUAUCAAUAAAGUACCUUCGAAAAAAAGUACUUUUUUUAGAAUGCAUAAAAUUGAAUGGAAUGAGCUUUAACCAAAAGUUGUUGAAUGCUACUUCAAAAAACUAUUUCUCCCCAAUUUAUUUCACAAGCACCUCUCUUCAACUCCCGCCGGCAACCUUUUGUUUUAUUUUUUCAAUAUGCUUUUUUCUUCCAUUUUAUUUUUUUUU